Molecule: ribosomal RNA, 450 nt
Filed under: uncultured bacterium
Lineage: Bacteria
Description: bacterial SSU rRNA
Rfam family: Bacterial small subunit ribosomal RNA
Source: RNAcentral
GUGGGGAAUAUUGGACAAUGGGCGAAAGCCUGAUCCAGCCAUGCCGCGUGUGUGAAGAAGGUCUUCGGAUUGUAAAGCACUUUAAGUUGGGAGGAAGGGCAGUAAGUUAAUACCUUGCUGUUUUGACGUUACCGACAGAAUAAGCACCGGCUAACUUCGUGCCAGCAGCCGCGGUAAUACGAAGGGUGCAAGCGUUAAUCGGAAUUACUGGGCGUAAAGCGCGCGUAGGUGGUUUUGUAAGUUGGAGGUGAAAUCCCCGGGCUCAACCUGGGAACUACAUCCAAAACUGCAUGACUAGAGUACGGUAGAGGGUAGUGGAAUUUCCUGUGUAGCGGUGAAAUGCGUAGAUAUAGGAAGGAACACCAGUGGCGAAGGCGACUACCUGGACUGAUACUGACACUGAGGUGCGAAAGCGUGGGGAGCAAACAGGAUUAGAUACCCGAGUAGUCC